Molecule: ribosomal RNA, 124 nt
Filed under: uncultured bacterium
Lineage: Bacteria
Description: partial 16S ribosomal RNA
Rfam family: Bacterial small subunit ribosomal RNA
Source: RNAcentral
CGAGAAUCUUCCGCAAUGGGCGAAAGCCUGACGGAGCGACGCCGCGUGCAGGAGGACGGCUCUCGGGUUGUAAACUGCUGUCACACAUUAAGGAACGUUAUGUUUAAUCAUAGCCUGACAAAGG